GGGAAAUGGCAAAGAUGAUACCCUUGCGGUUACUUGGAUUUGGAAGCACAUAAUAGUUGUUGUUCAUAUUUUUUUUCUAAGGCUCUAUACAGUCAGAGACUAUGACAGCCUACACCAUUCUGGACCUAGCCCUCAAGGGGGGCCUUGCCCCAGAAUUGCUCAAGCAAACACUACAGCGUACUGCGUACAGAGCCCAGUACCAUCAGACGUACUUAUGUCUGUGAUCCCUUAAAUCUCACACACAGCACCGGGGGCUUGCCAUAUUCCAACUUGAAUAUCUUCAUCCAAAUUGCCUAGAUGCAUAUAUGCUCCAGCUUUGUGAUGUUAAUGAUGAUACCAAUGUUUCAGA
RNAcentral lists this small RNA (349 nucleotides) under Histoplasma capsulatum var. duboisii H88. RNAcentral's name for it is "Histoplasma capsulatum H88 hypothetical RNA". Lineage: Eukaryota; Fungi; Ascomycota; Eurotiomycetes; Onygenales; Ajellomycetaceae. The record is from RNAcentral.